CGGACCGGCGCACGGGUGAGUAACGCGUAUGCAACUUACCUAUCAGAGGGGGAUAACCCGGCGAAAGUCGGACUAAUACCGCAUGAAGCAGGGGCCCCGCAUGGGGAUAUUUGCUAAAGAUUCAUCGCUGAUAGAUAGGCAUGCGUUCCAUUAGGCAGUUGGCGGGGCAACGGCCCACCAAACCGACGAUGGAUAGGGGUUCUGAGAGGAAGGUCCCCCACAUUGGUACUGAGACACGGACCAAACUCCUACGGAAGGCAGCAG
Molecule: ribosomal RNA, 264 nt
Filed under: uncultured bacterium
Lineage: Bacteria
Description: partial 16S ribosomal RNA
Rfam family: Bacterial small subunit ribosomal RNA
Source: RNAcentral